GGUCCCCGACCCUCCAUUGCAGCCAGCUCUCUCUGGAACUAACAGAAAGGCCCCCUGGUAAGGCCAGCCAGCCGGAGGACCACCCCGCAGACCACACGCCCAGGGCCUGGCACCGAGGGGGAGGCCCCGAUCAGCAGGUGAAAGCGACACCCUGAUGACACUGGCUAGUUCACCUUCACUCUGGUCAUCGUUUACUGUACCCCGGGGCAGCUCCCGCCUGAGCCCUAUGACCCCAACCGCCGCAGCCUCUGGCUGCCUCACUGGCCCAUCAUUAAUACGUCGAUGGUGAGCGCACUGGUGUACAGCGAGGGGGCUCCACUUCCGAGACCCCUGGAGAGGCCCGUCCUGGUGGAGUUCACCCUGCUGGAGAUGGAGAAGCGAACCAAGCCUGUCUGUGUGUUCUGGAACCAUUCCCUGGCGUAAAUGUGAUGCCGGGAGUUCUGCAUCUUCAUGUUUACAGAUCUGGGACUGAAACCCGCACAAGGAUAAAUGGCUGCCUCAAGGCUAUCUUGCCCAUUCUGAAAGAAAAAGGAAGUUCUCGUCGCAGAAAGAAAAUAAUACCAAAGGGAAACAAAAUUUCAAGAAGGAAUAAAGAACAGUGGAAGAGUAAAUAUGAAGACCAAGAGCAGUGAUGACCUUUUAGCUGGAAUGGCCAGAGGGGUAACGGUGACUAAUGGUGUUAAAGGGAAGGAAAGCUCCUGCCCAUCUGCAGCACCUUCGGCAUCUGCCCCUGCCAUGACCACUGUGGAGAACAAAUCCAAGAUUAGCACAGGAACAAGACGAGGAUGCCCGUUCUCACCACUUUUAUUAGACAUCACACAAAUAUGCAAGAGAAAAAAAUAAAAGCCACCCACACUGGAAAAGAGGACAUCAAAUUAUCCUUGUCUGAUGAAGAUGUGAUCUUGGAUUUACAAACAUGUAAAGCCUCCACCAGAAAACUCUAGACUUGAUAAAUAAAUUAAUACAGUCAUUUGCAGGAUACAAAAUCAACAUACAAAAAUCAGCAGCAUUUUAUACACCAAUAAUGGUCUAGGAAAGAAAUUAAGGAGGCAAUCCCAUUUACAAUAGCAACAAAAUGAAAAAUGAUAUGCCACAGAGGAAAUUUUACCAAGGAGGUGAACGAUUUCUACAAGGAAAACUACAAAACACUGAUGACAAAGUUUAAGAGGACGGAAAGAAAUGGACAGUCAUUUCAUGCUCAUGGAAGGAAUUCAUAGCAUUAAAAUGACCACACUGCCCAGAGCAGUCUAGAGAUUCAAUACAACCCCUACCAAAAUACCAGUGUCAUCUCUCACAGAACUGGAAAAUCGUAAAACUCAUAUGAAACCAAAAAAGAGCUCAAAGAGCCAAAGUCAUCCUCAGCAAAAACAACAAAACUAGAAGCACCCCAUUUCACUGCAAAUUAGAAUGACAAAAUUUUUGACAAGUGCAUGGUAACCAAAACAGCAUGGUCCUAGCAUAAAACUAGACACAUAGAUCAAUGGGACGGAUGACAGAGCCCAGAAAGACAGCCACAUAGUCUUGGGGCUUGUGUCUCUCCUGCUGUGCAUCCAUGCUGGGUGCUUUACAUACAACAGGCAGACAAGAAGUCCCUGUUGCAAGUGAGGACAAAGUGUGGGAAGGCCGUGAGGGUCUGCAGUCCCAGAUGGCCUUGGCCUCACCCCGCAGUGCGCUUUUGCACCAGAGUGCCACCUUCUUCUCCAGGUCCAGGUCUUCAGCAGUGACCCCAGACCCCAGCUGUAAGGGAGGUGGCAGCAUCAGAGGCUCCCCUUGCCUGAGUGGCAGCAGAGGAAACUUGCAUCUAUGGGGCCUAGAGGCCUGGGAUGUGGGGGAGCCAUUCCUGGGGGCAAGUGUCUGCCCUGGUGCUGCAUCUGCUGCCUUUUCACACUGGGUGAGACCCCAAGAGACAGCCUGAGGCCGGUCCUCACUCACUGUCUUUGAGGACCUGAGGGGCAGCUGACAGUGGGAUGAGGCUGGCCCCCUCCUCUUUGGUGACAGGAAGCCUCCCAUGGAACUGUAGGAGCUCACGAUGGCAUUUUGUUUGGUGCACGAACUCAUCCAGGAGGUCUGGGAUCUCUGGUUUUAUCCGACUUCUGACCUCUGGGCAUGGAGGUCUCUCUGCAGAGGCCCAGGCCUGGGCACGAAGGGAGAGAGGCCUCCAUUGUCCCACAGGGGCCUAAAUGCAGACUGUGCAUCCCCGGUGCCCUCAGGAACCCUUCUCUGAUCAUCAGGAUUCUCUUGGACUCUGGGGUCCUUGUCCUGCUCAGGCAUCCCUGCCCCCCUCUUCAGGAGGGCCCUCAACACGAUCUUCUCUGGACAGGAGUCUGGGGCACAACUGGAUGUUGUGGGCCCCAAAGGGGUGACUCCCUGCUCCUGGGCCCCACAGAGAGUCCUUGUGCUCAGUGCACUGGCUGAGCUGCAAGACAUCCUGGAAUUGGGAGCACACAGCACCGGCUUGCUGUGGUACCUGUGCAUUCAAAUUGAAGGCAGGAUCGCCAGCAAGGAACACAGGGCUUGCAGGAUCACAGAAAACCCUUGGAGUUGUUUUGACACACCACUGAUGCCAAGUGUCUGGGUACUUGUAGGAUGGCCCUGCCAUUCCAUCCAGGGGCAGUGGCAACAGGGAGAUUCCACAAACAAAGUGAACUGGGGGAUGGGAUGAGCAGGCUCCAGGCAACUGAGCCCUACUGGCAGGCCCUUGGCCCCCGGGGCCGGGACAGGGGUGACAGACACAGAGUGCCCAGGUAACCACUCCUGGGAGCAGUGGGGAACCGUCGGAUGCUUCAACUCUUGAGAGCUGGGCUCUAAGCAUCCGCCUUAGCUGCCAACUUGGCCAAAGGCUAUGCGAGCAGUUUCCCGUUGACGGGCAAUGCAUCUUUCCAACCUGAGCGAGUGGGUGUGUGUGCAAAGAUGGUGCGAGUCACGGAUCUGCGCAGGAAGGGUGACUUUAAGGGAUUAGCAUGGCCAGGUAUGCACACAAGGCACCUGCUGGCAAUGCCUUGGUGGGGAGCGGGCAGUGCACACAAGAGGUACUGGAGGGAGAGGCGCGCGGGAAGAACAGGCGCGCACAAUGGCUGCAGAUCCACCUGUGGAUCGCUGAAGAUUCCUGCUGAGGGUUGAGGCUGCUGGGCUGGAGGACUGUAUGGUCCAUGCAUUGUAAUGUCCCCUUCUCUCCCUGGCCCGGAGCCCCAAGAGCUAUCCGGACUCUCUCCAAGACCUGGUUCUGGCCCAGCAAAGAGGUCUCGGCAGGGGAGCAGGAUUCCCGGCCCAGCAGCUGGCUCAGGAGGUGACAGCUUUGGGAUUCGCAUCUGAGCAUCCUCCUACUCUUCUCCUGGGAACUCUGUUGGGGAGGGUUGCUCAGAACAGAAGUGCCUGGGACGCCCAGAUCCUGCUGGAGUGGCAGCUGGGGUGAUGGCCAGGGCAGGCUGGGAGGGACAUACUUUCCAUAGGACCCAGUGCUUUCAUCUCCGUGCAACUGACCAAGAGAAACCAAACCCAAACUCCUUCCUUUACACAGACCUAUUUGAGGGAGGCUGGGUAUUGUUUGUGUAUUUCAACCUAACAAGAUUUUGAGAUAGUUGGAAUGCAGAAGGAGACAGGAGGACUCAAGUGUCCUGUCUUUUGCAAAAAUGUCAAACGUAGCUACUCAGUCUCUUUUUUGUUUUUUUGUUUGUUUUGAAGACUAUGGUUAUUUUGCAAAAUAUAUAUUAUUUGAGUUUCUCUA
This is a long non-coding RNA of Homo sapiens (human), 3724 nucleotides long. Ensembl annotates it as DiGeorge syndrome critical region gene 5. Its record names the gene DGCR5. The record is from Ensembl. Lineage: Eukaryota; Metazoa; Chordata; Mammalia; Primates; Hominidae.